Molecule: transfer RNA, 86 nt
Filed under: Chitinophagales bacterium
Lineage: Bacteria; Pseudomonadati; Bacteroidota; Chitinophagia; Chitinophagales
Description: tRNA-Ser
Rfam family: tRNA
About the family: Transfer RNA (tRNA) molecules are approximately 80 nucleotides in length. Their secondary structure includes four short double-helical elements and three loops (D, anti-codon, and T loops). Further hydrogen bonds mediate the characteristic L-shaped molecular structure. tRNAs have two regions of fundamental functional importance: the anti-codon, which is responsible for specific mRNA codon recognition, and the 3' end, to which the tRNAs corresponding amino acid is attached (by aminoacyl-tRNA synthetases). tRNAs cope with the degeneracy of the genetic code in two manners: having more than one tRNA (with a specific anti-codon) for a particular amino acid; and 'wobble' base-pairing, i.e. permitting non-standard base-pairing at the 3rd anti-codon position.
Source: RNAcentral
GGGAGGAUGGCUGAGUGGUUGAAGGUGUCGGUCUUGAAAAUCGAAGGGUAUUAAUUACCUCGCAGGUUCGAAUCCUGUUCCUCUCU